RNAcentral lists this long non-coding RNA (263 nucleotides) under Hordeum vulgare. Its description in RNAcentral is "long non-coding RNA (HVUL_LNC020051)". Lineage: Eukaryota; Viridiplantae; Streptophyta; Magnoliopsida; Poales; Poaceae. The record is from RNAcentral.
CAAAAACAGACGCCGGAGUUCCUUUCUUGCGCCGAGGGCACAGCACAGCACUCGGUUCCUUUCCCUGUGGUGUGGUUUGACCCACCACCGGCCCUCUUUAUCCGCUUCCUUUGAUCGCUUUAGUUCCUCUUUACACCCCCUAAAACACUCUCGAACUCAGGCCUGCUAGGACGCACUUUUCUUUUGCUGCCAUGAACAUACGAGGCUUUCCGGUGGGUUUAGAUCUCGGAUCAACUCUGCCAUUACUUUAGACUCUCUGUGCU